GAUGAAGAACGUAGCGAAAUGCGAUAAGUAAUGUGAAUUGCAGAAUUCAGUGAAUCAUCGAAUCUUUGAACGCACAUUCGCCCGCCAGCAUUCUGGCGGGCAUGCCUGUUCGAGCGUCAUUUCAACCCUCGAGCCCCCCCGGGGGCCUCGGUGUUGGGGGACGGCACACCAGCCGCCCCCGAAAUGCAGUGGCGACCCCGCCGCAGCCUCCCCUGCGUAGUAGCACACACCUCGCACCGGAGCGCGGAGGCGGUCACGCCGUAAAACGCCCAACUUUCUUAGAGUUGACCUCGGAUCAGGUAGGAAUACCCGCUGAACUUAAGCAUAUCAAUAAGCGGAGGA
RNAcentral lists this unclassified non-coding RNA (342 nucleotides) under soil metagenome. RNAcentral describes it as "partial contains 5.8S ribosomal RNA, internal transcribed spacer 2, and large subunit ribosomal RNA". The stretch from base 1 to 119 matches the Rfam family "5.8S ribosomal RNA", at positions 35 to 154 of the family's 154-position model. The record is from RNAcentral.